RNAcentral lists this ribosomal RNA (252 nucleotides) under uncultured bacterium. RNAcentral's name for it is "partial 16S ribosomal RNA". It matches the Rfam family "Bacterial small subunit ribosomal RNA", at positions 524 to 776 of the family's 1533-position model. The record is from RNAcentral.
UACGGAGGAUGCGAGCGCUAUCCGGAUUUAUUGGGUUUAAAGGGUGCGUAGGCGGACGGUCAAGUCAGCGGUAAAAAUGCGGUGCUCAACGCCGUACAGCCGUUGAAACUGGCAGUCUUGAGUGGGCGAGAAGUAUGCGGAAUGCGUGGUGUAGCGGUGAAAUGCAUAGAUAUCACGCAGAACUCCGAUUGCGAAGGCAGCAUACCGGCGCCCUACUGACGCUGAGGCACGAAAGCGUGGGUAUCGAACAGG